RNAcentral lists this transfer RNA (74 nucleotides) under Gammaproteobacteria bacterium. RNAcentral describes it as "tRNA-Ile". It matches the Rfam family "tRNA". From Rfam's summary of the family: Transfer RNA (tRNA) molecules are approximately 80 nucleotides in length. Their secondary structure includes four short double-helical elements and three loops (D, anti-codon, and T loops). The record is from RNAcentral. Lineage: Bacteria; Pseudomonadati; Pseudomonadota; Gammaproteobacteria. RNAcentral also lists the same sequence under 1 other name.
GGGCCCGUAGCUCAGUUGGUCAGAGCAGCGGACUCAUAAUCCGUUAGUCGCAGGUUCGAGUCCUGCCGGGCCCA